RNAcentral lists this ribosomal RNA (818 nucleotides) under Peach yellow leafroll phytoplasma. RNAcentral describes it as "bacterial SSU rRNA". It matches the Rfam family "Bacterial small subunit ribosomal RNA", at positions 401 to 1228 of the family's 1533-position model. Lineage: Bacteria; Bacillati; Mycoplasmatota; Mollicutes; Acholeplasmatales; Acholeplasmataceae. The record is from RNAcentral.
GGGACAUGAAGUACUUCGGUAUGUAAAGUUCUUUUAUUGAAAAAGAAAAAAUAGUGGAAAAACUAUCUUGACAUUAUUCAAUGAAUAAGCCCCGGCUAAUUAUGUGCCAGCAGCCGCGGUAAUACAUAAGGGGCGAGCGUUAUCCGGAAUUAUUGGGCGUAAAGGGUGCGUAGGCGGUUUGAUAAGUCUAUAGUUUAAAUGCAGUGCUUAACGCUGUAGCGCUAUAGAAACUGUCUGACUAGAGUUAGAUAGAGGCAAGCGGAAUUCCAUGUGUAGCGGUAAAAUGCGUAAAUAUAUGGAGGAACACCAGAGGCGUAGGCGGCUUGCUGGGUCUUAACUGACGCUGAGGCACGAAAGCGUGGGGAGCAAACAGGAUUAGAUACCCUGGUAGUCCACGCCGUAAACGAUGAGUACUAAGUGUCGGGUUUCGGCUCGGUACUGAAGUUAACACAUUAAGUACUCCGCCUGAGUAGUACGUACGCAAGUAUGAAACUUAAAGGAAUUGACGGGACCCCGCACAAGCGGUGGAUCAUGUUGUUUAAUUCGAAGAUACACGAAAAACCUUACCAGGUCUUGACAUAAUUUUGCGACAUUAUAGAAAUAUAAUGAAGGUUAUCAGAAUUACAGGUGGUGCAUGGUUGUCGUCAGCUCGUGUCGUGAGAUGUUAGGUUAAGUCCUAAAACGAGCGCAACCCUUGUCGUUAGUUGCGACCACGUAAUGGUGAGCACUUUAGCGAGACUGCCAAUGAAAAAUUGGAGGAAGGUGAGGAUUACGUCAAAUCAUCAUGCCCCUUAUGAUCUGGGCUACAAACGUGAUAC